UACGUAGGGAGCAAGCGUUGUCCGGAAUUACUGGGUGUAAAGGGAGUGCAGGCGGGAUGGUAAGUUAGGUGUGAAAACUAUGGGCUCAACCCAUAGACUGCACUUAAAACUGCUGUUCUUGAGUGAAGUAGAGGUUGGCGGAAUUCCUAGUGUAGCGGUGAAAUGCGUAGAUAUUAGGAGGAACAUCAGUGGCGAAGGCGGCCAACUGGGCUUUUACUGACGCUGAGGCUCGAAAGCGUGGGGAGCAAACAGG
This 253-nucleotide ribosomal RNA is filed under the name uncultured bacterium. Its description in RNAcentral is "partial 16S ribosomal RNA". It matches the Rfam family "Bacterial small subunit ribosomal RNA", at positions 524 to 776 of the family's 1533-position model. The record is from RNAcentral.